Molecule: ribosomal RNA, 269 nt
Filed under: uncultured prokaryote
Description: partial 16S ribosomal RNA
Rfam family: Bacterial small subunit ribosomal RNA
Source: RNAcentral
UACGGAGGGUGCAAGCGUUAAUCGGAAUUACUGGGCGUAAAGGGCGCGUAGGUGGCCGUGUAAGUCGGAUGUGAAAGCCCCGGGCUUAACUUGGGAAUUGCAUUCGAUACUGUAUGGCUAGAGUGUGGCAGAGGAAAGCGGAAUUCCCGGUGUAGCGGUGAAAUGCGUAGAUAUCGGGAGGAACAUCAGUGGCGAAGGCGGCUUUCUGGGUCAACACUGACACUGAGGCGCGAAAGCGUGGGGAGCAAACAGGAUUAGAUACCCCAGUA